GGUUGUAGUUUAGUUGGUUAGAACGCCUGCCUGUCACGCAGGAGGUCGAGGGUUCGAGUCCCUUCAACC
Molecule: transfer RNA, 69 nt
Filed under: marine eukaryotic metagenome
Rfam family: tRNA
About the family: Transfer RNA (tRNA) molecules are approximately 80 nucleotides in length.
Source: RNAcentral